CGACGGAUCCUGCAGCUGCUCGGCUGUCCUGGUCAAGUCAGUGACCCUAGGGCUCCGCUCCGUGCCCUGCACACCGUAGCCGCUCACGAAACGUUCGUGAGUUCCCCGCUUUGAGGAGAGAAGCUUAAAAACUCAGAAUAACCACGCUGCACAAAGUGAACUUACCUGUUUUCAUCGCACUUUAUAUGCAUGAAUUCUGCCUCCACUCUCGACCUGGGACUCACUCAUGAGUAAGGAAGGACUGAAAGGCAAAAGGACUAUGGACUGGCCUUUUGGCAUAAUCAGGUGUUUAAUAUAAAGAAGUGCACGAAUAAGAAAAGAUAUGAUAUGUGUGAUGGUUAAUACUGAGCGUCAACUUGAUUGGAUUGAAGGAUGCAAAGUAUUGAUCCUGGGUGUGUCCAUGAGGGUGUUGCCAAAGGAGAUCGACAUUUGAGUCAGUGGGCUGGGAAAGGCAGAUCCACUGUUAAUCUAGAUGGUCACCAUCUAAUCAGAUACCAGCACAGCUAGAAAUAUAAAGCAGGCAGAAAAAUGGGAAAAGAGUGACUGGCCUACCCUCCCAACCUCCCAGCCUACAUCUUUCUCCUGUGCUGGGUGCUUCCUGCCCUGGAACAUUGGCACUCCAAGUUCUUCAGUUUGGGACUCGGACUGGCUCUCCUUGCUCCUCAGCUUGAAGACAGCCUAUUGUGGGACUUGUGAUCAUGCUGAUUCAAGGGAGCCCUGCCUGGCAUCCUUCCUGCUCCGCCAGCCAUCACGAGGCCAUGUUCCAUGAGCUCCAUUUCCACGACUGGCCCGUCUGGGUAUCACAGUUCCAACCAGAAUGCGUGUUUGGUCCCUGGGGCUUCUGGAUAACUUGGAGCUUUGUAAGAACUCCAGAAGGAUUUCUUCUGAAGAACCAAACCCCUGUUUCAUAGGCGACACACAGUUUGCUCCUUUCAACACGCACACGAAACACACAUUCAUGAAACAGCAAACGAGAGCAGCCUCGGCAUGAUCUGAGAGUCUGACGAUCCCUUCCUCACCAGAGGAGGGCUCAAAACCAUGUUUCACAUCCUCGGAUUCUGGGGCGCAGCCCUCAGGGACAGCUUGGGGUUGAGGCCAGAACACAGCAGGCAGGGCCCAGAGCUUCUCCCCUGACCCCACCUGGCACAGGGCUCAGAGCCGGCGGGGCUGGUCAAGGGUUGCUUUUCCGGUGUGGUUUGCUCGUUUUCUUUUGCUGUUCUUGUUCCUGCUCUCACCUGCACCAUCUGCUCUGUCCCUGCUCCUCAAGGCUUUCAAGAUCAAGAUGCUUAUUGUCGAGAACUGUCUUCCUUUCAAAAAUGGCUUUUACAGUUCUGGCCUCCAAAUGCAGGACUUUACCUACACUGCUACAUCAUUCAAC
Long non-coding RNA from Rhinopithecus roxellana (golden snub-nosed monkey), 1378 nucleotides. RefSeq lists it as uncharacterized. Lineage: Eukaryota; Metazoa; Chordata; Mammalia; Primates; Cercopithecidae. The transcript is spliced from 3 exons. The record is from RefSeq and is a predicted model, not a curated record.